This 375-nucleotide ribosomal RNA is filed under the name uncultured bacterium. Its description in RNAcentral is "bacterial SSU rRNA". It matches the Rfam family "Bacterial small subunit ribosomal RNA", at positions 523 to 898 of the family's 1533-position model. The record is from RNAcentral.
AUACGUAGGGUGCAAGCGUUAAUCGGAAUUACUGGGCGUAAAGCGUGCGCAGGCGGCUAUGCAAGACAGAUGUGAAAUCCCCGGGCUCAACCUGGGAACUGCAUUUGUGACUGCAUGGCUAGAGUACGGUAGAGGGGGAUGGAAUUCCGCGUGUAGCAGUGAAAUGCGUAGAUAUGCGGAGGAACACCGAUGGCGAAGGCAAUCCCCUGGACCUGUACUGACGCUCAUGCACGAAAGCGUGGGGAGCAAACAGGAUUAGAUACCCUGGUAGUCCACGCCCUAAACGAUGUCAACUGGUUGUUGGACGGCUUGCUGUUCAGUAACGAAGCUAACGCGUGAAGUUGACCGCCUGGGGAGUACGGCCGCAAGGUUGAA